This 425-nucleotide ribosomal RNA is filed under the name uncultured bacterium. RNAcentral describes it as "partial 16S ribosomal RNA". It matches the Rfam family "Bacterial small subunit ribosomal RNA", at positions 354 to 796 of the family's 1533-position model. The record is from RNAcentral.
GUGGGGAAUAUUGGACAAUGGGCGAAAGCCUGAUCCAGCAAUGCCGCGUGAGUGAUGAAGGCCUUAGGGUUGUAAAGCUCUUUUACCAGGGAUGAUAAUGACAGUACCUGGAGAAUAAGCUCCGGCUAACUCCGUGCCAGCAGCCGCGGUAAUACGGAGGGAGCUAGCGUUGUUCGGAAUUACUGGGCGUAAAGCGCGCGUAGGCGGCUACUCAAGUCAGAGGUGAAAGCCCGGGGCUCAACCACGGAACUGCCUUUGAAACUAGGUAGCUAGAAUCUUGGAGAGGUCAGUGGAAUUCCGAGUGUAGAGGUGAAAUUCGUAGAUAUUCGGAAGAACACCAGUGGCGAAGGCGGCUCACUGGACAGGUAUUGACGCUGAGGUGCGAAAGCGUGGGGAGCAAACAGGAUUAGAUACCCCAGUAGUCC